This 1217-nucleotide ribosomal RNA is filed under the name metagenome. RNAcentral's name for it is "bacterial SSU rRNA". It matches the Rfam family "Bacterial small subunit ribosomal RNA", at positions 296 to 1498 of the family's 1533-position model. The record is from RNAcentral.
GAGGAUGAUCAGCCACACUGGAACUGGAACACGGUCCAGACUCCUACGGGGGGCAGCAGUGAGGAAUUUUGCGCAAUGGGGGAAACCCUGACGCAGCAACGCCGCGUGAGCGAAGAAGGCCUUCGGGUCGUAAAGCUCUGUCAAGUGGGAAAAAAAUCUUUUGAUCAAUAGUCAAAAGACUUGAUGGUACCACUGGAGGAAGCACCGGCUAACUCCGUGCCAGCAGCCGCGGUAAUACGGAGGGUGCAAGCGUUGUUCGGAUUUACUGGGCGUAAAGAGCGUGUAGGCGGUUUAGCAAGUCAGAUGUGAAAGCCCUGGGCUUAACCCGGGAAGUGCAUUUGAAACUGCUUCACUAGAGUAUGGGAGAGGAGAUUGGAAUUCCUGGUGUAGAGGUGAAAUUCGUAGAUAUCAGGAGGAACACUCGUGGCGAAGGCGAUUCUCUGACCAAUACUGACGCUGAGACGCGAAAGCGUGGGGAGCAAACAGGAUUAGAUACCCUGGUAGUCCACGCCGUAAACGAUGAGAACUAGGUGUAGUGGGUAUUGACCCCUGCUGUGCCGAAGUUAACGCAUUAAGUUCUCCGCCUGGGGAGUACGGCCGCAAGGCUAAAACUCAAAGGAAUUGACGGGGGCCCGCACAAGCGGUGGAGCAUGUGGUUUAAUUCGACGCAACGCGAAGAACCUUACCUGGGUUUGACAUCCUCUGACCGUCUGGGAAACCAGAUUUUUCCGGCUUUGCCGGAACAGAGUGACAGGUGCUGCAUGGCUGUCGUCAGCUCGUGCCGUGAGAUGUUGGGUUAAGUCCCGCAACGAGCGUAACCCUUGUCUUUAGUUGCCAUUAUUAAGUUAGGCACUCUAAAGAGACUGCCUCGGUUAACGGGGAGGAAGGUGGGGAUGACGUCAAGUCCUCAUGGCCUUUAUAUCCAGGGCUACACACGUGCUACAAUGGGCUGUACAAAGGGUUGCUAUCCCGCGAGGGGGCGCUAAUCCCAAAAAGCAGUUCUCAGUUCGGAUUGAAGUCUGCAACUCGACUUCAUGAAGGUGGAAUCGCUAGUAAUCGUGGAUCAGCACGCCACGGUGAAUACGUUCCCGGGCCUUGUACACACCGCCCGUCACACCACGAAAGUCGACUGUACCAGAAGUUGCUGGGCUAACCUCUUCGGAGGAGGCAGGUACCUAAGGUACGGCCGGUAAUUGGGGUGAAGUCGUAACAAGGUA